RNAcentral lists this long non-coding RNA (2507 nucleotides) under Homo sapiens (human). Its description in RNAcentral is "HSALNT0199921". Lineage: Eukaryota; Metazoa; Chordata; Mammalia; Primates; Hominidae. The record is from RNAcentral.
GAAGUCCAGCUCUGUGACACUGAAGGUCACCAGUUCCCUUGCUGGCUUCGACUGAAUGAUUCCCCUGUGAAGUCCCUUGUUUACUGUAUUUGUAAUUAGCCACCAAGAACUUGAGUAACCGGUUUCCGAGGAGAACAUAUAUCCUGAAUCAGUUCCUGGACAUUUGUUUGAGGUCUUGUAAGGGAAACUGAAGGGAAUUGUGUAUUGAACAGGAUGGCUUAGACCUGCUCAACUUCUGAGAAUUGAGGCAAAGUGGGCAAUCCAGAUGUAUCACUUGACUUUCUGACUACUGGAAGAAUUUCCCUUCAUUAUUGCACACCAGGGGUAUCCCACAGAUGAUGAAGAGCCAAGGAGCCUAUCAGGAAGGCAAUGAAGAGACUGGCAAAGGCAAGAAGGUACUAUCACUGCUAGAGAGAUCCAGGGGGAAGGCUGUGUGACCAGAGUCAAGGAACAGGAACAUCUGGAGAAAGCCUGCCCAAACAAGAGCUGAAGCCGUGUGGAGGAGACGCAGCAGCUACCACUGCAAAUGCUACUCGAGGCAGAGAGACGGAGGAGGUGGAAUGUGGCCUGUUUCCUCCUUGGGCCCUUCGGUUUUCCACAGUGUCUUUCACUGGCCUUCUUGAAAUCCAGGAAACAAGAGAGCUGGAAAAUAUUGGUCUCUGAGUUAUAGCACAGGGCAGAGAAGGGCAGAAAAUGCACCUGAAAGAAAACAGGCAAGUGACCUAUAUACCUUCUUUUAGGCCUUCUCCCUCUUGUGUACCGCAUAGCAUAUUAAGUGGAAAAUUAUUAUAACACUCAUUGUAUCACGUGGCUGUGUUUUGCUUACAUAUCCAUCUCAACUUUUAUCUCUUGCUUUCCCCAGCACCAGCACUGGCACAUUGCAAUUUUUGAACAAAAGAUUUUUGAACUAAUGAAUAAAUAGGUGAUUAGAUUUAAUUCAAUUUCAAUGAAUGUUUAUUAGGUCAUUAUUAGGAUAUUGGGUCAGAAUGUUCUAGUUGAUUCUACAUACAUCACCUCCUUCAUAGAGUAUCCUGAAAGGCCCACAAUUCACUCGCACAUUCUUUCUCCUAACUGUCAAAUUUUACCAAUUAAAAAGUAUUAUCAGGCUGGAUAUGGUGGCUCAUGCCUGUAAUCACAGCACUUUGAGAGGUUGAGGCAAGAGGAUCGCUUGAGCCCAGGAGUUCAAGACCAGCCUGGGCAACAUAGAGAGAUGGCAAUCUCUACAAAAACUAAAAAAAAAAAAAAAAAAAAAAAGCAGGAUGUGGUAGUGCAUGCCUGUGGUUCCCAGCUACUAGGCAGGCUGAGGUGGGAGGAUCUCUUGAGCCUGUGAGGUUUAGGCUGUAGUGAGCCAAGAUUGUGCCACUGCACUCCAGCCUGGGCAAAAAAGUGAGACACUGUCUCCAAAAAAAAGAAAAAGAAAAAAAAAAUCACUAUUUAGUGAUGUGUGUGAUGGCUCCCUUGACACAGAUAGUUCAUUUCCCAUAGUGAUAAAUAUUAAAAUCCAGCAUAUAUUAAACCUGCCAUGUUACAGGUCAGGUUCUGCCCUCCAUGCUGUGUGGUCACCUGGGUGAAAACCAUGUACCUGUCCUCAGGAGCUUAUACUCUGCUGGGAGUGAGCAGCUAGGGAUCGUUUUGAUGUCUCUGCUGAUUUAGGGGUACGCACAGGAUGCUGUGGAGUCAAACUAGGGCACUUCACAUAGGCUGGGAAUUCAGGAAGCUUUCUGGAAUUCCAGAAAAAAAGACUGAGUCAGGUAAAGAAAGAUGGGGCCUGGCAGGGUGGCUCACGCCUAUAAUCCCAACACUUUGGGAGGCUGAGGCGGGCAGAUCACCUGAGGUCAGGAGUUCAAGAUCAGCCUGGCCAACAUAGUGUGAAACCCCGUCUCUACUAAAAAUACAAAAAAAAUUAGCCGGGUAUGGUGGCGCGUGCCUGUAAUCCCAGCUACUUUGGAGGCUGAGGCAGGAGAAUCGCUUGAACCCAGGGGAUGGAGGUUGCAGUGAGCCAAGAUCAUGCCACUUCACUCUAGCCUGGGCAAAAGAGCAAAACUCCAUCAAAAAAAGAAAGAAAGAAAGAGAGAGAGAAAAAAAAAGAAAAGGGAAGAACAUGCACACAGACAGAGUUGCGAUAGAAGUUUCUGUCCAUUAUUGAGUUUGACCAGAGAUGAAAUGUAGACCCUGAGGCUGAGCCUUAUCACAAAAAGUCAUGAAAAGUCAACCUUUACUCUGAAGGCAAUGGUGAGGCACUGAUGAGCAGUAAGGAGAGACUCAUAGAUGAGAUGUGCAUGGCAGGUGGCUCACUCAGUCUGCAGCAUGGAAGAGAGAGAUUUAAAGUAAAACUGAGAUAGUCAAAGGUUAUUGCAGAUCUUACAGAAAUGGGCAGACCAAUACCCAAAACCCAUGUCUACAAACAUGUUCACUUCAGCAUUGUUUCCAAUAACACAAACCAGAAAACUAACUAAAUGUUCAUCUUUUAACAUUUUUAUUUUCUUUUCUCUAUUUUUACAAGCCCA